UCUCGAUUGGUCUAGUGGUAAGGAUACCUGCUUGUCAUUCGUCGGGUAAUGCGGGUUUCACGAUACGUGGAUUUAGCAUCUAUCAAAGAACAAGCCGCAGGUGGCCGGGGUUCGAUUCCCCGAUCGAGAG
This is a non-coding RNA of Nemania serpens, 130 nucleotides long. NCBI's taxonomy places the organism in Eukaryota, Fungi, Ascomycota, Sordariomycetes, Xylariales, Xylariaceae. The record is from the annotation of a GenBank genome assembly.